Molecule: ribosomal RNA, 252 nt
Filed under: uncultured bacterium
Lineage: Bacteria
Description: partial 16S ribosomal RNA
Rfam family: Bacterial small subunit ribosomal RNA
Source: RNAcentral
UACGUAGGGCGCAAGCGUUGUCCGGAAUUAUUGGGCGUAAAGAGCUCGUAGGUGGCUUGUCACGUCGGGUGUGAAAGCUUGGGGCUUAACUCCAGGUCUGCAUUCGAUACGGGCUGGCUAGAGGUAGGUAGGGGAGAACGGAAUUCCUGGUGUAGCGGUGAAAUGCGCAGAUAUCAGGAGGAACACCGGUGGCGAAGGCGGGUCUCUGGGCCGAUACUGACGUGAGGAGCGAAAGCGUGGGGAGCGAACAGG